GGGGCUGUAGUGUAGCUUGGCCAGCGCAAAUCAGAGAUUUGCUGGGUUGCGUUGAAGCAACUAUCACUGGAGCUCGGGGAGCUUCCAACCCCGGUUCGAAUCCGGGCAGCCCCA
Molecule: transfer RNA, 114 nt
Filed under: Candidatus Woesearchaeota archaeon
Lineage: Archaea; Nanobdellati; Candidatus Woesearchaeota
Description: tRNA-Pro
Source: RNAcentral